AAAGCGCGAUAGGUAAUGCGAAUUGCAGACGUGAGUCAUUGAAUCUUUGAACGCACAUUGCGCCAGUUUACUGGCAUACUGCGUUGAGCGUCGGCCUUCCUCCACAGGUAGUGCUGCUUCUAGCAGUGAAAUAAAUGGAAACGCACCCGUUAGCUAAUAGGUGCUUUUUUUGUUUUUCGACCUCAGCGUAGUAAGAUCACCCGCUGAACUUAA
Molecule: unclassified non-coding RNA, 213 nt
Filed under: uncultured Candida
Lineage: Eukaryota; Fungi; Ascomycota; Saccharomycetes; Saccharomycetales
Also listed under: 1 other name
Description: sequence contains ITS1
Rfam family: 5.8S ribosomal RNA (bases 1-93)
Source: RNAcentral